ACUGUGUUGACAUGCUCUGCACCUUGCUCCUGCCCUCGCCUUUCACUCUUAUUAUCCCCCCGAUACCCCGAUCAUUCCUGACAGCUCGGGAGUGCCUGGAUUUCAUCAUCCAGCCCUGCAGGAUGCUCCCCUUUGUUCUGAGGAAUGCUGUCCCAGACAGAGAGGAGGACAUGGAGGUAGAUACCAAGAUUGAUAUGGAGGAGGAGAUGGAAAUAGAUGGAGAAGACCCUGGAGAGGGAAAGAUGGAUGUGGAUGUGGAUGAGGAAGAAGAGAUGGACGUGGAUGUGACUAAGGAGGAAGAGAUGGAUGUGGAUAUGGAAGAGUAGAUUGAGGACAUGGAUAUUGAUUAAGAAGGUGCGAUGGACAUCACCGACAGAGACACCACCCUUGUGUAUAUAUGUUCUACAGUUUGUUGUUGUUCUUUAGAAUAUAGAUUUUAGGGCUAUUUUUGACUUCUGUAAAUACAUUUCCCAUAGUUUUGCUAGGUAGGUUUUUAUGUAUAUAUGUUCUAUCGA
This is a long non-coding RNA of Passer domesticus (house sparrow), 515 nucleotides long. RefSeq lists it as uncharacterized. The transcript is spliced from 3 exons. The record is from RefSeq and is a predicted model, not a curated record. Lineage: Eukaryota; Metazoa; Chordata; Aves; Passeriformes; Passeridae.